RNAcentral lists this ribosomal RNA (1337 nucleotides) under Laccophilus pictus. RNAcentral's name for it is "eukaryotic LSU rRNA". It matches the Rfam family "Eukaryotic large subunit ribosomal RNA", at positions 64 to 1114 of the family's 3401-position model. Lineage: Eukaryota; Metazoa; Arthropoda; Insecta; Coleoptera; Dytiscidae. The record is from RNAcentral.
ACUAACUAGGAUUCCCCCAGUAGCGGCGAGCGAACAGGGAUGAGCCCAGCACCGAGGCCCGCGGUCGACACCGGCCGCCGGGCGAUGCGGUGUUAGGGAGGGCCCGUUCGACCCGAGCGCGCGCGACCAGUCCAAGUCCUUCUUGAACGGGGCCACACGCCCAGAGAGGGUGCCAGGCCCGUGGUGACGGUCGCCGAGCUCGGGUGGGUCUUUCCCGAGAGUCGGGUUGCUUGAGAGUGCAGCCCUAAGCGGGUGGUAAACUCCAUCUAAGGCUAAAUACGACCACGAGACCGAUAGCGAACAAGUACCGUGAGGGAAAGUUGAAAAGAACUUUGAAGAGAGAGUUCAAGAGUACGUGAAACCGUUCAGGGGUAAACCUGAGGAACCCGAAAGGUCGACGCGGGAGAUUCAUACGCCUCGCCGGUUGCGGCCGCGUGUCGGUCAUCCAGGGACGGUGUCGGGUUCGCCCGGCGCCGCCCGGCCGUCGCGCGCCGUCCGCCGCCGGAGGUGUGCACUUCUCCCGCUGUAGGACGUCGCGACCCGUUGGGUGCCGGUCUAAGGCCCGCCAGGUAGCCCGUGGUAGCGAGCUCGCUCGCCGCCCGGACCGGCGGUGCAUCCCGGCCGGCCGCCCGACGGUAGGAACAGCUGGCGGCGGGUCGCCUCGAACGCGUCCAGGCGCACGGCAAGCGUACGCGCGAUCAGCGGAAAUCGGGCCCGGCCCGGUUCCGCGUCCGCGUCGCUGUUGGCCGAGCUGCUCUCGGACCGACCCCGCUCGCCCGUCGGCGACGCUUCAGCUUUGGGUAAUUUCAGGACCCGUCUUGAAACACGGACCAAGGAGUCUAGCAUGUGCGCGAGUCAUUUGGAACUCGAAUAAACCAAAAGGCGAAGUGAAAGCGAAGGUCUCGCCUAGAGCGGACCGUGGGAGGACAGGCGCCGCAUCCUUAAACGGACGUCGCCUCGCACUCCCGGGGCGUCUCGCACUCAUCGCGAGGCGAGGCGCACCGCGAGCGUACACGCUGGGACCCGAAAGAUGGUGAACUAUGCCUGGUCAGGACGAAGUCAGGGGAAACCCUGAUGGAGGUCCGUAGCGAUUCUGACGUGCAAAUCGAUCGUCGGAACUGGGUAUAGGGGCGAAAGACUAAUCGAACCAUCUAGUAGCUGGUUCCCUCCGAAGUUUCCCUCAGGAUAGCUGGCGCUCGGGAGAAACGAACGAACGAGUCUCAUCCGGUAAAGCGAAUGAUUAGAGGCAUUGGGGUCGAAACGGCCUCAACCUAUUCUCAAACUUUAAAUGGGUGAGAUCUCCGGCUUGCUUGAAUCAUGAAGCCGGAGAUCGGAUC